GUAGUCCACGCCCUAAACGAUGCGAACUGGAUGUUGGGUGCAAUUUGGCACGCAGUAUCGAAGCUAACGCGUUAAGUUCGCCGCCUGGGGAGUACGGUCGCAAGACUGAAACUCAAAGGAAUUGACGGGGGCCCGCACAAGCGGUGGAGUAUGUGGUUUAAUUCGAUGCAACGCGAAGAACCUUACCUGGCCUUGACAUGUCGAGAACUUUCCAGAGAUGGAUUCGUGCUCGAAAGAGAACCUGCACACAGGUGCUGCAUGGCUGUCGUCAGCUCGUGUCGUGAGAUGUUGGGUUAAGUCCCGCAACGAGCGCAACCCUUGUCCUUAGUUGCCAGCACGUAAUGGUGGGA
This 350-nucleotide ribosomal RNA is filed under the name uncultured Lysobacteraceae bacterium. Its description in RNAcentral is "bacterial SSU rRNA". It matches the Rfam family "Bacterial small subunit ribosomal RNA", at positions 790 to 1136 of the family's 1533-position model. Lineage: Bacteria; Pseudomonadati; Pseudomonadota; Gammaproteobacteria; Lysobacterales; Lysobacteraceae. The record is from RNAcentral.